GAACAUAACCUCUAAUCGGUUGCUUCGGCGGGACUUCGCGCCCGCCGGGGCCCAAACCUUUCUGAAUUUUUUUAAUAAGUAUCUUUCUGAGUAGGUUAAAAAAAAUGAAUCAAAACUUUCAACAACGGAUCUCUUAGGUUCUGGCAUCGAUGAAGAACGCAGCGAAAUGCGAUAAGUAAUGUGAAUUGCAGAAUUCAGUGAAUCAUCGAAUCUUUGAACGCACAUUGCGCCCGUCAGUAUUCUGGCGGGCAUGCCUGUUCGAGCGUCAUUACGCCCCUCAAGUCCCCUGUGGACUUGGUGUUGGGGAUCGGCGAGGCUGGUUUUCCAGCACAGCCGUCCCUUAAAUUAAUUGGCGGUCUCGCCGUGGCCCUCCUCUGCGCAGUAGUAAAGCACUCGCAACAGGAGCCCGGCGCGGUCCACUGCCGUAAAACCCCCUAACUUUUUAUAGUUGACCUCGAAUCAGGUAGGACUACCCGCUGAACUUAAGCAUAUCAAUAGAGGGGGGAGGAAA
Molecule: ribosomal RNA, 511 nt
Filed under: Metarhizium sp.
Lineage: Eukaryota; Fungi; Ascomycota; Sordariomycetes; Hypocreales; Clavicipitaceae
Description: eukaryotic LSU rRNA
Rfam family: 5.8S ribosomal RNA (bases 114-268)
Source: RNAcentral